GAUGAAGAACGCAGCGAAAUGCGAUAAUUAAUGUGAAUUGCAGAAUUUAGUGAAUCAUCGAAUCUUUGAACGCACAUUGCGCCCCUUGGUAUUCCGGGGGGCAUGCCUGUUCGAGCGUCAUUUCAACCCUCAAGCUCUGCUUGGUCUUGGGCCGCGCCGGCGACGGCGGGCCUCAAAAACAGUGGCGGCGCCAUCUGGUUCCUCAGCGUAGUAAUUCUUCUCGCUGUUGGGCCCGGGUGGCCGCUGGCCAGCAAACCCAAAUUUUCUAUGGUUGACCUCGGAUCAGGUAGGGAUACCCGCUGAACUUAAGCAUAUCAAUAAGCGGAGGA
RNAcentral lists this unclassified non-coding RNA (329 nucleotides) under soil metagenome. RNAcentral's name for it is "partial contains 5.8S ribosomal RNA, internal transcribed spacer 2, and large subunit ribosomal RNA". The stretch from base 1 to 120 matches the Rfam family "5.8S ribosomal RNA", at positions 35 to 154 of the family's 154-position model. The record is from RNAcentral.